GCCCCUGUAGCUCAGUGGAUAGAGCGCUUGCCUCCGGAGCAAGAGGUCCCGCGUUCGAGUCGCGGCAGGGGUGCUA
RNAcentral lists this transfer RNA (76 nucleotides) under Anaerolineaceae bacterium. RNAcentral describes it as "tRNA-Arg". It matches the Rfam family "tRNA". Rfam says of the family: Transfer RNA (tRNA) molecules are approximately 80 nucleotides in length. Their secondary structure includes four short double-helical elements and three loops (D, anti-codon, and T loops). Lineage: Bacteria; Bacillati; Chloroflexota; Anaerolineae; Anaerolineales; Anaerolineaceae. RNAcentral also lists the same sequence under 1 other name. The record is from RNAcentral.